This 308-nucleotide long non-coding RNA is filed under the name Salvator merianae (Argentine black and white tegu). RNAcentral's name for it is "lncRNA (ENSSMRG00000006421.1)". The record is from RNAcentral. Lineage: Eukaryota; Metazoa; Chordata; Lepidosauria; Squamata; Teiidae.
UUCUUGACGAACUAACUCAGAGGAAAGGGAAACAGAAAAGCCUGAAUAAAUCCGUUAGCAGCCCUGGAAGCCACUGAGACACUAUACAACGAGUGAAGCACACACUUCUAAAUUUUUCAAGGAGUUAAAAGUAAGAUCCACCUGGACACCUGUGGUGCUCCAGAAACCACUCUUGCCUCAGAAAAACAUCUCUGGCCAUGAACAUGGGAAAAAAAAGUUUUUCCUUGCUUGCUUGCGACAACCACCUUAUGCCAUUUGAUGGCAUCAAACCACCUGCCGGUGUCUUCAACACCACCAGUGAGAACGUC